UGCUUUAUUAAGGUUGUGAUUUGGAAUAAAUUGUAUUUACUGAUUCUGCGAAUACUUUACCUUAAAUUGAAUCUUGAUUUCCAUUUCCUAAGUGGGUUACUGAAAGGAUCCUAUUUGGAGAGUAGGAUUUACUGCAAAAAUAAGAUCUGGUUAAGCCAAAGGUCCAAAUCCUUAAAUCCAUUUAAGUAGAGGCAUUAAUCAAUCAAGCACUUAAGUAGAGGCAUUAAUCAAUCAAGCAUUUAAGUAGAGGCAUUAAUCAAUCGAGCAUUUAAGUAGAGGCAUUAAUCAAUCAAGCAUUUAAGUAGAGGCAUUAAUAAAUUGAGCAUUUAAGUAGAGGCAUUAAUCAAUCAAGCAUUUAAGUAGAGACAUUAAUCAAUCAAGCAAAUGAAGGGAUUCUAACUCAAGGUUCAUCUAUAAGUUUUUCUUUUGGGCUAGAUAAGGAUUUACUAAGGUAGAGGAGUAUGAAUAGAAGGACCAAUUUGUGUUAGUUGUAACAAGUUUUAGUUAUGUCCUUGAAAAAGAGCUGUGGAGACUCAAAGAAGAAUGUAAUUGUGAAGAUGAAUUACUGAAAACCAUUGUGUGAUCUCACUGUGUUGCUAUUGUGAAGGUUCUCACAUCAAGCUAAAGGCUGUAUAAAUUGUUUUGGCAGCUGCAUUAAUUGAUCACUGCAUUGUCUUCAUUUUCAUUACUUUUUUUAUACUCUAAUGAUUCCUCCUUUUUUCAUUACAUCUCAUUUGAUGUGAAGUUGUUUCAAGAUAUCAUUUUUAUCACUUCUAUUUAAAUCAAAUGAAUGUAUCUUAAAUAUAUUUCUUAUAGCAUCAAGAUUCGAGAGUAACUAUUUAAUUAUUUACUUCAACAGUUGGUGCUAAUGGAUCUGGGAAGACAAACUUUUUUCAUGGUAUGAAAAUUGCCAUUUCUUUAUCCUCUGAUUUAUUUGUUGACUGUCUUUUUAGUCUUUAUGAAGUAACUUAAAUAAGAUCUGUCAUUUUUCACUCCAUUUUCUCCCUUUGUCUUUUGUAUCUAGCCAUUCGUUUCGUGUUGAGCGAUCUCUUUCAGAACCUACACAGUGAGGAUAGGCAGGCACUACUCCAUGUAUGACACAGUCCAUAUUUCCUUUUAAUUGUUCUUUUUAUCUUACCUAUCCCUAAUCAAUUAUAGAUUUUGAUCAUGCUUAUAUGAAUGAUUCUGUUUACAGGAAGGGGCUGGACACCAGGUUUUAUCUGCAUUUGUGGAGAUUGUGUUUGAUAAUUCAGACAACCGUAUCCCGGUAAUAUUUUGAGAACAAUAUAAUAUUUUUUUAAUUCACUCUAGUGGCUGUUACAGAGAACAUUCACAUAGGUUCUGCUUGGCGGUCACAUUGUUGUAUUCAAUUUAUCAACAUCUAUUAUCUACUCUUUUAAAUGGUGGAUGGUUGGACAAUUAUUUUUUUCUUGUGCAAUGAAUUCAUGCUAUGAGCUGUACUGCUCAAUCUAUUUAUAGGAUGGAUCUGUAGGAAAAUCAAAGAAUCUAAUAGCAGAGAGAUUUUGAAUUUAGCUAAAUAGAAACUUGUGGCAACUGGAUGAGUAUUACAUGUUUUUCUUCUUUUAAAAUUUACGCCAUUUCUAACUCAUAAUCACCACUUAUUUUCAAUGUCCGUUCAUGUGUUCAAUCUUGGUGUCUAUAUUUGCUGGUAAAUAGGUUGACAAGGAAGAAGUGCGCCUGCGUCGGACUAUUGGUUUGAAAAAAGAUGAGUAUUUCAUAGAUGGAAAACACAUAACGUGAGUAUAAGAGGGCAAGUACUAAAAAUUUAUUGUUUAGUGAAAAAUGACAUUUUAUCUCAUGCUCUUUGGUCAUAUUGUAUGAGUAUUAACCUGGGCCCUAAAAAAGAUGAUAAAUGAUCUGCAGAAAAACUGAAGUGGUUAGUUUACUGGAAAUGGCUGGGUUCUCUCGCUCAAAUCCUUAUUAUGUUGUACAACAAGGAAAGGUAAUGGUGCACGCCGAUGGUGCUUUGCUUUGGUGUUUUGGUAUACUCAGUUGAAGUUGAUUUCUAAACUGGUCCCCUUCUUGGUCUUGCAUAGAUAGCAUCACUAACCUUGAUGAAAGACUCUGAACGAUUGGAUUUCCUGAAGGAGAUAGGUGGUACUAGAGUUUAUGAGGAGAGACGUCGUGAAAUUUAUGUUCUCAACCGGGUGUUGUUAAUGGCUGGUGGCAGAGUGCCAAAACUCCGCCAUAUUUGACAAAUAAUGAGGGCGGAUUAUGGUGGAAUAUCGGCCAUGGCGGCUUGCUGGAAUUCUGCCUCAUGUAUUUUUCUGUUAGACAGGUAACAAACGAAAGCAAAUAAUCCAAGACUUACAGUAUUUUGGUGAGAAGCUGAAAGAACUAGAUGAGGAAAAAGAGGAACUUAGAAAAUAUCAGCAACUUGACAAGCAGAGAAAAUCCUUGGAAUAUGCCAUUUAUAAUAAAGAAGUUCAAGAUGCUCGGAAAAAACUUAUAGAGGUUAUCUUGUUAAAAUCUUACCACAUUUAUAAUUAAUUAUUUGCACUAGUUUUACUGUGUUUUAUUAGUUGGAUUUAUUUCUCUGUUGGUGAUUAGAUUGUCAAUCACAUCCAUAUCAGUCAUGAUAUUUUGUUUUAGAUAGAAGAAGCUUGCAACAAGGUUUCUGAAACAUCAUCAAAGAAGUAUAAUGAAGUUCUUGAUGCACAUGAGAAAUCCAAAGAUUUAGAGAAUACAUUGAAAGACGUAACGAAAGAACUUCAAAACUUUAACAAGGAAAAAGAGGUUACUGACAAGAGACGAAAAGAGGCAAUAAAGAAGUACACAGAGCUUGAGCUUGAUGUCAAAGAUUUACAGGAGAAGAUCACUGGAAAUAUCCGAGCCAAAGUACUAUUCUAAUGAAACCAUCUUUGAAGUUCUUCUAAAAGGGAUAGUGGUGUACAUGACUAAUCUAUUAAUCUAUUACCUACAUGCUUUCAGGAAGAUGCUGCAAAGCAACUGAAGAUACUUGAGAAAGAACUAAAAGACUCAAUGGAUGAACUGGCCAAAAUCAGUCCUUUAUAUGAGGAUCAAGUUAAGAAAGAAAAAGAAAUAACGAAACGGUAUGCUAUGGCUGUACAUGUUUACUAUUAUGCAUCAAUAAAGUAUAUUGUAUUUAACUCAUUUAGUGUUUGUAUUCCGUCUGUAACAUUGUAGUAUGUUUUAUGCUCUAUUAUAACAUGUUAAUCUCUUACUUUUUUUUUUGUUCUUAUUUGACUGCAAAAUUUGGAUUAGUUAGAAUACAUGAUGGAGAAAUAUCCUGUAUAUUUCACAUGUUUUCUUUACAGUUUUUCACAAAUCUUAGUUAUGGCAAGACAGCCCUUAUAUAUGGGAAGAAAGUCCUCACCUCUUGAUCUAGCUAUGGUAGAGUUAGGCCUCUCAAAUUCUAAUAAAAACAACGGAAUUUAUUCUAUCAUCUGUAUAGGUUAUUAGAAAGUUUCACUUCCAUCUCUCACAAAUGCAUGAAAUUGUCAGAAUAAUGGAGUGUGAGAAGAAGCUCAGUAUACUAUAUCAAAAGCGAGGACGUGCUACUCAGUUUUCGAGUAAAGCUGCUCGUGAUAAGUGGCUUCAAAAGGAGAUAGUUGACCUUGAAGGGGUUCUUUCUUCAAACACGACACAGGCAAGUGUUAGUUUAUUUGAAUGAGCUAUACUGAAUUAUGGCCCAAAUACUUUUCUUUCUUAGAUGCAGAAAAGUUAUUUGUUUUUCAUUAGGUUGGUAACCUUGUUUCAAUUAGUUUAAGGAUAAUAGCAUGAAUUACAUCUUUCUGCUCUUUAAUGUAUAUGCUGUUGAGAAGUCUCACAUUGACUAGAAAUAUGGCUAAAUAAGUCCAUAUAUAGGGUAGAGCAAUCCUCACCCCUAAGCUAGUUUGGAGUAUAGUUAGGUCUAACCCAAAUUCUAAGAUGACAUCAAAGCCUAUCCUAAAUCUGUUUAUUGGAGACCACUAUAUAUGGGCCCCCAUAGAUGUGCAAUCUUGCAAACUCUAUGCUCCAGAUGUCCAGCCUUGUGUGUGAGGGUGUGUGUUGAUAAGUCCCACAUUGGCUAGAGAUAUGACCUAAUACGUGUUUAUAAAGGGUAGAGCAUAACCCUAAUCUCUGAGAUAGCUUUUAGGUAGAGUUAGGCCUAACCUUCCCAAAUUCUAAGAUGCAUUUUUUCAUUUUUGUUCUGCAUAUUAGAUUGAGUAUUAUUAGGGAAUAGAAUGAAAGAACUGCAAGAUCAGGGAAUAUUGUUAGGAAAUAGGAAUACAAUAUAGAUCCUUUUGUGUCUUCACCCAACAACUUAUGCUUUUAGGCUUGAUGGUUCAUGAAAUCAAAGCCUUUUAUGACCAAGUUAUUUAUUGUUAGAUCUUUUAAGCCUCCAUUUUAACUUGAAUUUCAGUACAAGGUAGGUGGACUCGUACAAUGUCGAGGGUAUGUUAGAAAUACAAUAUCAAACUAUUUAUGUGUCUUCACUCAAAAGUUUAAGUUUUUGGAAUGGUUCAUGACAAGUAUGAUAUCCCCAUGGAGAAACUUUGACGUCCAGUUACUAUGAUAAACAUCUAAGCUUGUUAGUCUAUCUGCAUAUUCAAUCAAGGAACACAUUAUAUUUCCAUUGUCUAAGUUCUAGCAUCAUAAUAAUGAUAGAUAACAAUUGCUUUGCUUUUAUUCAAAUUGGAUAAAUUCUCCCAAAGUUUCUUGUGUAAGGGUGUUUUAAAAAUUUAAUAGAAAACUAUUCAAUUUUCUUCGCCUAAUAGCUUAAGUUUUUGGAAUAAUUAGUUCAUGAAAGUACUUUUAUAUAAACUAUGAUCUCUUCCUCAUUGCUCUCUCCCUUGUUUUUGACUGUUGCUUUGAACCACAGGAGCAAACGCUUAUUGAAGAAAUUGGCCGGCUUAAUGGUGAAUUACAGGAUAAUGAUGAGUACAUCAAGAGAUGUGAAGCAGAUAUUAGUACUAUGAAUUCUCUCAUUGCUCAAUCACGAGAAGGGUUUAAUCAUAAUAAAGUAGAAAGAGACAAGUUGAAUGAUGAGAGGAAGUAUGUAUAUCUUCUUUUGUCCUUUUUAGUGAUAGGUAUUAUAUAUUUUUCUAGAUGAAAGAGGAAUUAUUAUUGGAGAGAAGCAGAAAAGAGUAUUAUGAGAGUGUAGGAUGGGGCAGAAAGGAGAAACAUAGCAAAGAUAAUUCAUGGUUAAGUGAAUAUUCUCAUGAUUUCAAUUGUUGUAUAUAGGUCAUUAUGGGGCAAAGAUAAUGAUCUUACUGCUGAAAUUGAUAAGCUGAGAACAGACAUUGAGACAGCUGAAAAGGGUCUUGAUCAUACAAUUCCUGGAGUGAGUAAUCCCACUUUCUAACUUCUUUUAACAUAAAAUUUCUCCAAACCAAUAUUUUCUUCAUCUGCAAUUGAGCAAUGGAGAUUUCUUGGCAUCUGGGAAGAAUGUAUGCUGCUAUGGAGUUUGAGGAUGAUUUGUCAUGAUGAUAUUUCUUUAGGCUUAUUCUGGGGACUGGUUGCUGAUUUUAUACGUAAUCGUGUAUGGCACUACUGUAAUAUGCAGGAUAUCAGAAGAGGCUUAAAGUCAGUUCGGAGGAUCUGCAAGGAGCGUAACAUUUCUGGAGUUCAUGGCCCAAUUAUUGAGUUGCUGAAUUGUGAUGAAAAAUUUUUCCCCACAGUUGAAGUUACAGCAGGAAACAGGUCAUUUGUCACUGUAUUUCUUUAAAAUAUAUAGCCUCACCAUGGGUACAUCCUUAGCAUCUAGUUGUUCCAUCUUUUUUUAGCUCCAGUUUUUGUUCUUGUCUUGAUCUCUGUUCUGGUUUUAUAUUUUCCACACAUUUGGCUUUAUGUUUUACUGAGAAUCUCUUACAACAGCUUAUUUCAUGUGGUCGUUGAAAGUGAUGACAAGUCAGCCCAGAUAGUUCAACAUCUUAAUUCGCAGAAAGGUGGACGAGUUACAUUUAUUCCUGUUAACAGGGCAAAGGCUCCACACAUCACUUAUCCACAGAGUUCUGAUGUCAUACCUCUUUUGAAGAAGUUGAAUUUUAGAGAUGACUAUAAAUCCGCAUUCAGUAAGGUUAGCUCUAUACAUGAAUUUUAUUUACACAUGGGCAUGUCGCAGCAUCUUCAGGUUCUAUCUGCUGCUAAAUAACAUUACUAAGAUGGUUUAUCUGGUUUUGACAUCACAUAAUAAAAUUUGAUGCACAAUUGAGAAGCAUCUUGAGUUAGGAAAGUAAUGGUAUUGAAGGAUUAUUGUGUUAAUUAGGGGUUAUUGUAAUAUUCUUAUUAAUUAUAAGAUUUCUCCUCUUUUAGAGAUCCUUUCCUAUUCAUUAGGAAUUUUAUCUUUGAGAAGUUAUACACUCUUACAGUAGCAUAUGUUAGAUCUUUAUUAGAAAUAGGUUGACCUAACUCUACCCCAAAAGCUAGCUUAGGGGUGAGGAUUGCUUUACCCAAUAUAUGUGCUUAUUUGGCCAUAUCUGUGGUCAAUGUCAGACUUCUUUAGAGAUCUUAUCUAAUUUUGUUUCAUUAUGAAUUUUUUUAAUUAUAUUUGGGUAAUAAAUACCCUUUUGCUGCCUUGUGUUACUUAAGUUAAUACUGUUGGUUCACAAAAAAAUAUAUUGAACCUCAUGGAUUUUGUUAUGGACUUUUGAGAAUUCAUGGUCGUUGCUGGUUCUCUUCUCCCGUUUUACAUCAAGAAUAUAAGUGUUUGAGGAUUCUAUUCUUCUAGUCGUGUUUGAAUGAUUUAGUUCAGUACUCUAUAUAGGAGUUAAAAUUUCCCUAGCCCAUCUGGUUGUGUUUCUAUUUCGUCCAUGUUUAUUUGUUAAUGUUAAGAUAAAUAGGUCACAUUUCAUAUAUUCAUAUUUCGCUACAUUUGCAUUCUCUUCCUUUCCCCCCUUUUGUUUUGUCAACUUUAGAUGAUGCCUUAUUCCCUUACUGCUGCUAAAACUUUUCCUCCUCUCUCUUAAAAUAUUUCCUUUUUCUAUAAAAAUAAAAUAAUGAUGAUUGGCAGUUUCCAAACUACUGUAACACGUAACACAACCAUCUUGAAGCAAGGCUCAUGUUGCCUAAAAACUUGCAUCAGAUUCUUAUUACCGGGCCCUGAUAUUGCUUCAGUUAAACUCUUUUCUCCACCUGUAUUAUAUAUUUUCUCUUAGGUAUUUGGUAAAACAGUUAUCUGCAAGAAUUUGGAUGUAGCUUCAAGGAUUGCUCGUGCUCAUGGUUUGGACUGCAUAACACUGGAAGGUUGGCCUAAUUCUUCAGAUUGUUUGUCUACAUUAUGUCGUCUGUUGAAGUAUUUUUCCCUGAUUAAUUGUUGUCUAUCUCAUUACAGGUGAUCAAAUAAGCAAGGAAGGUAGUAUGACUGGAGGAUUUUAUGAUCACAGUCGAUCAAGAUUGAAGUUCAUGAGUAUCAUUAAGCAGAAUGCACACAACAUUCGCAUCAGGGAGGAGGAGUUAGAGAAAGUUAGAUUUAAGCAACAUGAUAUCCUUUUAUUCUAAUAAAUGGAUGCUCCUUUUUAUGUAUUCUCAGUUUUUUUUUCUUCGUGAAAACUCAUUCUUUAUAAAAGCCAUAUAAAUUCUUAGGAAAUAAAAGCAAAGUAAAUCCCUUUGACCUAAAUCAACCGAUGAAGUGUUCGAAAUAAAUAUUUCCAAAUUUGAGAAGGGAAACCAUUUUGUAACAAGUACCCAAUGGUCAUAUCUAAUUUUUUUUCUUUCUAUUUGAACACACUUUGGCAUACAUAGAUGGAGACCACGGGGUUUGUAUAUCUGUAAUUUUCUUCUAUUAACUACAACUUAACAAACAGUAAUUUUAACAUGGUUUGGUAAUUACUUUUUCUGGUUUCUUGGAGAUUCAAUUUGCUGUUUAGAUCUAUGUUUUUUAAUGGAUAAAGGUGCCUUGCUUCAUAAAGUUGCUUUAAUAGGAAGGCGUCUUGUCUAAGUUGAAAAUAAGAGGCUCGACCUGGAUUUUAUUACGUAUACAAUUAGGCACAACUUGUGUGCUACUGCACUUUGUUGGUUCCCCAAGUCUUCACAAAAGUUAAUGUUCCUUUUGGACUCUAUUAUUAUACUGUUUCUUACAUUAUUUUCUAAAUUAAUUGAUGAUGAUUGAUUUUCCUUUUGAUGAUUCAUUUCUUCAUCUUAUGGCAAACUUGUUUGUACUAGGGCCUUAAUUUGUUUUUAUAAAAUGCCACAUAUCCAUUAGUUCUGUGAAUGGCUUCUCUGUUGACCAAUUGUCUAUGCUACUCCUAGUUGGACUCCAUUUCCAUCUAUUAUUUUGUUUUUACUGAAUUAAUCUCACAGAUAGAGCAAAAAGUUAAUAAACUUUUAGCUGAGCAGCAGAAGAUUUAUGCCAAGCGUGCUCAUGACAAAUCAGAAAUAGAACAGCUUAGGCAGGACGUUGCUAAUGCUAACAAGCAGAAGCAAUUAAUUUUUAAAGCUCUUGCAAAAAAGGUACUAAUGGAUAUUAUAUCAUACUCAGUUAUCACCUGAGAGCUUCUUUUCUGUGGAGUUGCUUGGGAAAAUUUCACUGCUUAUUCCUUAUCAUUUUUUCCAGAACCAGAUUGAACAACGUAAAGCUAGCUUGGCAAUGAAAAAAACUGAAAUGGGCACGGAUCUCAUUGAUCAUUUAACACCAGAGGAAAAAAAACUUUUGUCAGAUUUGCACCCUGAAAUCAAAGACCUUAGAGAGAAGCUUGUAGCUUGCAAGACUGAUCGCAUUGAGGUUAUUGAAUGAAUUAAAUUGAUGCUCGUAAUCUUUAAAGGGCAAGUGUCCUUAUCUUACCUUAAAUUUUGCAGACUGAAGCACAGAAAGCAGAGCUGGAAACUAAUCAAACUACUAACCUUGAGAGAAGGAAACAAGAGUUGGAAGCUGUAAUAUCAUCUGUGGAUGCUGACUCUUUGGUUGUUGACUCUGAAUUGAAGGGGCAGGAACUUCAUGAUGCUAAAAUAUUGGUUGAUGAUGUAUCGGGACAGUUCAAA
RNAcentral lists this long non-coding RNA (8943 nucleotides) under Lotus japonicus. RNAcentral's name for it is "long non-coding RNA (LJAP_LNC001467)". The record is from RNAcentral. Lineage: Eukaryota; Viridiplantae; Streptophyta; Magnoliopsida; Fabales; Fabaceae.